Molecule: long non-coding RNA, 2184 nt
Organism: Monodelphis domestica (gray short-tailed opossum)
Lineage: Eukaryota; Metazoa; Chordata; Mammalia; Didelphimorphia; Didelphidae
Source: Ensembl
ACCAGAAGAAUUUCUGAAAGCUUUUCCAUUGCUGUUCUUAGAUUCAAUCAGUACAGAGGAUGACUUGGAUUCAAUCUAUCCUAUAACUGAGGAUAUCUCUGAAGGUUUAUGGUCAAAGUCUUUCACAGAUGUAGUCCUAUUGAAAUCAGCUAUUCUGGCACUUCAUAUGGGGGCUUGUCCAGGAUCCCAUGAAGGAAAUGGAGUCUGACUAACACAGGGAGGGGACUCCUGUCACCAGGGCAACUCAAGAAGAUGGGAUCCGGAACACAUCACAUCUUGGUGGAGGAUGGUAGGAUCCAGUGAGUAGCCUCUGGAGGAGUUGAAUGAAUAUGUGGAUAAUGUUGUGUGAGAGUGAGGGGGUUGGGUCUCCUGAGUCAUUGACAUAUGGCUAAGUGGCUGACCACUAGUCACCAUCCCCGGGAGUUGUACAAGGACAGCCUAUUGCCAAGCCGGACUGUUUCAGAAGAACUGCCCACCUAUUUCUGAGUGUGGACCAGGAAAGUCGUCAGUCUCUAUUUCACGCGAGAGGAUAGGUUGGAAAUCCUGGGAAGUGUGUGGAGGAAGACUGUGACACCCCUCUUGGCUACCUUCACCCAACUCCUUCUCCCUUGGAUGAGCCAUGGGAAGGACCUGUCAGACUUGACUCCCUUAAACAAGAUAUUCUGGCCAGUUGAUUUUAGUCGGCUUUAUUUGUGGGGUUAGUGUCCCCACUGCUGGGGUUAGAGGCCCUUGCCCUAGCUUCAAGUCCCUGGUUCAGGGUGGUUAGAGGCCCCCCGGUUGGAGUUUGGGGUGGUUAGAUGCCCCCCUGGUUAGAAUUCAGGGUGGUUAGAGGCUCCAGAUUGGAAUUAGAAAACCCAACGGAUGCGCUGGAGGAAGGGUUGCGGCCCUGGGGGAAGCCUGGCCACACCGCUCUGUUUUGGGGACCACUCACCCCUGGCCCCUUGGGGAUAUUAUGGGACAAGGAGAGUCGACCCCAAAGGUCCACUCCGCUCUCCCUCAUGACUACCCAUUUCUCUGUCUUAAAGGGAGGAAGAGGGUUGAUUCUGAACAGAAAGACAAUUGAAACAUCACAUACCAACUCUGCAAAAAACUCAGGAAUUCAAUUUCUUAAAGGGAUCUAUUCCGGUCAGAAGAUGACUUCUGAAGAAAUCUGUUGGCUAAGAUGCCCAAAUGCAAAUGUUUAAUAUAAGUUUCUAGUGUAUUAAUUAUCUCUGUUUAUAUCUGUUGCUCUAGUUUUUGCCCCAAUUUCUACACUUGUAUCUUAGGGGCUGACUCUCCCCCUUGUAACCUGUCUGCCAAUUGGGGGAAGCAGUCUCUGGACAUCCUUCAGAUCUCCAAGCAGGUCCCCACCUACCUAGGACCCAGGCAUUCACUGAAUGCACGCCCCUAAUGACCCUGUGCCUAUAGCCUUUCCCUCCCUGUUCAAGUUAUGGCUACUCUCCUGUGGGAUAUGUGGACCUUGCAUAUGUAACCUCAUCACUUCUCUAGUUGCCUCUAGGGUAAAAGCACUCAUGGGAGUCACCCAGAUGCCACUGUAACCUCAGCAACCAUCCCAGCCUGAAACCCUGGACAUUGCCUAUAGUCAAUACCUCUCUUUUUCCUGACAAUAGUCAGGGACAGCUCUACAACCAUUCUCAGCUCUGAAGAAGCUACAGAAUACGGAGACCAUCACCCUUUUUCCCUUACAUAUCUGGAGAGGGGAGAGGUGACAUGGGUGUUGCACCCCCAGAAACUCGGGCAAACUAUUGUCGGGGGGAUUCCUUUGCUCCCUUACAUCCUUGUAACUCCUAGCCUAAAACAUCAAUGCCUCCUCUAUAUUUAAGAUGGACAGAGGGAUGCACCUCCAGGCUACACCUCAAUUCUAUCUGGCUGUCUCUUAGAUAUUUCUCUGUUCCUUAAAACCAAAGAAUCUUUUAUGAGGGUCAUUCCCUAUGUCUCCAGACAGGCCCCAGUCAGAUAACAAAACCCCUGACUGAAUGAAAAAAGAACCCAUUAAGGUCAUAACAUUGGCUGCUAUCUUUGGUCUGGCCGGGGUUGGGACAGGGAUAGCUUCCCUCACCCUAUACCACCAGAGUCUGGCAGCCCUUAGGGUGAUGGUAGAUGAGGAUUUGGCUCAUAUAGAGGCAUCCAUCACCCAUUUGGAGGAAUCCUUAACCUCUCUAUCGUAGGUGGCACUCCAAAAUG